GACUAUGUUUGUAUUCGGGAUACGGGAUGUUUAUCCCCGGUAUAUCCUGGAAUAGCUGCCAAACUCCUCCAGUGGUCGGCCGGAUAACUUUAACCCACUAAUCCGGUCGAAACCGCAUCUGACGGAGUUAAUAUGGAUAAACUGUCAUCAUAGGGUCCCUGGGGUUGGUCUGAAACCCGGUAUAAACCGGACUAAUGGGUUUGUUUUAUCCCUGAAUUAAUGACCAAUGCCGCCCUCGGUCGCUUCCUCCUCCUUUUCGCCGGUGCUCGCUUCUUUCCCUCUCUCUCUCUGCUCACCCUCUGCCAUGGCCAUCUCCUCCGAUCUGUCGCUGAUCCUAAUCGAUUGCGUUCCUUUACUUCGUCAUUAACUUCGUCUCAUCUUCUUCCGAUACUUAAGGCGGAGCUCGCUCGCUCUCGUUCCCCCUCUCCUCGUGGGGUCUUUCCUAGGGUUGUGGGCGGUCCACGGCGACGGGGGAGGUUCCGGGAGGGAAGAGUUCUUUAAUUGCCCGGGAGGGAAGGACUUGGCUCUAAGAGAAAUCGGGAAGAAAAUGUACAAGGACGCUGAAGGUCCGUCUUUAUUUGAUUUGUUUGAGCAUGCAGAUAUUGUUAUUAUGAGUUUAGUGCUAUAAUUUUGCAUGUCCAUUGUGUUUGGAAAAUUUUUGAGAGCUGCUUACUGCCUGAUAUGUCACUGCUUUACCCUGACGUAUAAUUUUUAAGAUACCUUUUUUUUUCAAAAAAAA
Molecule: long non-coding RNA, 739 nt
Organism: Phoenix dactylifera (date palm)
Lineage: Eukaryota; Viridiplantae; Streptophyta; Magnoliopsida; Arecales; Arecaceae
Source: RefSeq, a predicted model, not a curated record